AUGUACAUUCUUAUUGCAUAGUGUUAGUUCAUUGGAUCCCAUUAGAGCUCCACAGUUAAGUGUGCUUGGGCUAGAGUAGUAUUGGGAUGGGUGACCGAUCGCUCGGGAGUCCUAGUGUUUUACAUG
Molecule: non-coding RNA, 126 nt
Organism: Picea glauca (white spruce)
Lineage: Eukaryota; Viridiplantae; Streptophyta; Pinopsida; Pinales; Pinaceae
Source: Rfam